RNAcentral lists this ribosomal RNA (391 nucleotides) under uncultured bacterium. Its description in RNAcentral is "bacterial SSU rRNA". It matches the Rfam family "Bacterial small subunit ribosomal RNA", at positions 29 to 449 of the family's 1533-position model. The record is from RNAcentral.
AACGAACGCUGGCGGCAGGCCUAAAACAUGCAAGUCGAACGCCCUAGCAAUAGGGAGUGGCGCACGGGUGAGUAACAUGUGGGAAUAUGCCUUUUGGUACGGAACAACUUUUGGAAACGAAAGCUAAUACCGUAUGGUCCCUUCGGGGUAAAGAUUUAUCGCCAAAAGAGUAGCCCGCACUGGAUUAGCUAGUUGGUAAGGUAAUGGCUUACCAAGGCGACGAUCCAUAGCUGGUCUGAGAGGACGAUCAGCCACACUGGGACUGAGACACGGCCCAGACUCCUACGGGAGGCAGCAGUUAGGAAUAUUGGACAAUGGGCGCAAGCCUGAUCCAGCCAUGCCGCGUGAGUGAUGAAGGCCUUCGGGUUGUAAAGCUCUUUAGUCCGACGAA